AGCAGCCGCGGUAAUUCCAGCUCCAAUAGCGUAUAUUAAAGUUGUUGCAGUUAAAAAGCUCGUAGUUGAAUUUCGGGAUCAAUUCGUCGGUCGUGCUUUCGGGUACGUACUGGUGUUUAUUGGUUUCUCCCUUCUGACGAACCAUGAUGUCAUUAAUUUGGUGUUAUGGGGAGUUAGGACUGUUACUUUGAAAAAAUUAGAGUGUUUAAAGCAGGCAUUAGCUUGAAUACAUUAGCAUGGAAUAAUGAAAUAGGACGUUCGAUCCUAUUUUGUUGGCUUCUAGGAUCAACGUAAUGAUUAAUAGGGAUAGUUGGGGCAUUAGUAUUCAAUUGUCAGAGUGAAAUUCUUGGAUUUAUUGAAGACUAACUACUGCGAAAGCAUUUGCAAGAUGUUUCAUUAAUCAAGAACGAAAGUUAGGGAUCGAAGACGAUCAGAUACCGUCGUAGU
RNAcentral lists this ribosomal RNA (447 nucleotides) under uncultured Glomus. RNAcentral describes it as "SSU rRNA". It matches the Rfam family "Eukaryotic small subunit ribosomal RNA", at positions 569 to 1024 of the family's 1831-position model. The record is from RNAcentral. Lineage: Eukaryota; Fungi; Glomeromycota; Glomeromycetes; Glomerales; Glomeraceae.